ACGCCGUCGUCGAGGCCGCUGCAGUUCGCGCAGACAACAGCCAUCUUGGAGGUAUCUAAUUCCAAUAUUGUAUGUCUCGGUUGAACUUGUGAAGGCGUUGCAAGCACAUAUCAUUAACUGGGAUAUUCAUAUGUUUGAUGAGGAGAUCGGCAAUACCACUCAGGGUGGCAAGUUUGACCAUGCAGAUCGUUUGUUCCAAAGCAUUGAGAGCGCUUACAUAAAUAGAUUAUCAAAUACAAGUGACGUCAAAGAGCUUAUUCCAGAAUUCUUUUACAUGCCAGAGUUUCUUGAAAAUUCAAAUUCAUAUCAUCUUGGUGUCAAGCAGGAUGGGGAACUUAUAGGCGAUGUUGCUCUCCCUCCAUGGGCAAAGGCUUAGCAUUGCAAAGAACAACUUCUGCGUACAGUUAUGUAGCCCAGCUUCAUAACUUGAAGGUGAUGAUGUGCUAGCUUUCGCAUACAUGUUACAUUUCCUAUCC
This is an RNA transcript of Zea mays, 476 nucleotides long. It is a transcript of the gene named BEACH superfamily protein pseudogene, with no coding region annotated. Lineage: Eukaryota; Viridiplantae; Streptophyta; Magnoliopsida; Poales; Poaceae. The transcript is spliced from 4 exons. The record is from RefSeq and is marked validated.